This 578-nucleotide unclassified non-coding RNA is filed under the name Talaromyces pinophilus. RNAcentral describes it as "sequence contains 18S rRNA gene, ITS1, 5.8S rRNA gene, ITS2, 28S rRNA gene". The stretch from base 221 to 374 matches the Rfam family "5.8S ribosomal RNA". Lineage: Eukaryota; Fungi; Ascomycota; Eurotiomycetes; Eurotiales; Trichocomaceae. The record is from RNAcentral.
CGUAACAAGGUUUCCGUAGGUGAACCUGCGGAAGGAUCAUUACCGAGUGCGGGCCCUCGCGGCCCAACCUCCCACCCUUGUCUCUAUACACCUGUUGCUUUGGCGGGCCCACCGGGGCCACCUGGUCGCCGGGGGACGCACGUCUCCGGGCCCGCGCCCGCCGAAGCGCUCUGUGAACCCUGAUGAAGAUGGGCUGUCUGAGUACUGUGAAAAUUGUCAAAACUUUCAACAAUGGAUCUCUUGGUUCCGGCAUCGAUGAAGAACGCAGCGAAAUGCGAUAAGUAAUGUGAAUUGCAGAAUUCCGUGAAUCAUCGAAUCUUUGAACGCACAUUGCGCCCCCUGGCAUUCCGGGGGGCAUGCCUGUCCGAGCGUCAUUUCUGCCCUCAAGCACGGCUUGUGUGUUGGGUGUGGUCCCCCCGGGGACCUGCCCGAAAGGCAGCGGCGACGUCCGUCUGGUCCUCGAGCGUAUGGGGCUCUGUCACUCGCUCGGGAAGGACCUGCGGGGGUUGGUCACCACCAUGUUUUACCACGGUUGACCUCGGAUCAGGUAGGAGUUACCCGCUGAACCUAAGCAUAUC